RNAcentral lists this unclassified non-coding RNA (564 nucleotides) under uncultured Bradyrhizobium sp. RNAcentral's name for it is "partial 16S-23S ribosomal RNA intergenic spacer". The stretch from base 443 to 564 matches the Rfam family "Bacterial large subunit ribosomal RNA", at positions 1 to 121 of the family's 2925-position model. The record is from RNAcentral. Lineage: Bacteria; Pseudomonadati; Pseudomonadota; Alphaproteobacteria; Hyphomicrobiales; Nitrobacteraceae.
CUGGGAGAGCGCGUGCUUUGCAAGCAUGAGGUCGUCGGUUCGAUCCCGUCUGGCUCCACCAGAUGGUUUGAUCACCGAGAUCUUGACCGUCGUCCGCGAAACAUCACUUCGCAUCCUGCUAGUCUGGAUAGACAGCAGUUUGCGUGUUUUCUGACAUCGUAAAGAGGAGAUCGAUCCGAGUUGGGUCGUGCAGCAUAUCGUUGCGCGAGCCUUCAUUAUCUCCGGAUCAUUUCGGCGCUCGCUUCCAGCCGUGAGGUUGGAUGCGGGUUGUAAAUGAUCCUUUUAGCGAAGCUUGACCGCCUCGCUAUCGGAACGAUCUUACGAAGCAAGCUGGUCUUUCUAGUCAAUGUCCGGCUGCGGAUAGCGUUCAUCGAGGGCGCGUGCCGCAAGGCAAUUCCGCAGACAACAUUCUGCCGAGUGUGUGGACAUUGAUAAUGAGAGCAAUCAAGUGCCUUAAGGGUGUUCGGUGGAUGCCUUGGCGCUGAGAGGCGAUGAAGGACGUGCUACGCUGCGAUAAGCCGUGGGGAGCUGCGAAGAAGCUUUGAUCCGCGGAUUUCCGAAUGG